This 429-nucleotide ribosomal RNA is filed under the name Triticum aestivum (bread wheat). RNAcentral's name for it is "partial small subunit ribosomal RNA". Lineage: Eukaryota; Viridiplantae; Streptophyta; Magnoliopsida; Poales; Poaceae. The record is from RNAcentral.
AUGGCCGCCGCGUACUCCAUGCUGCCCGGCCACUCCCCGAGCGCGCACGCCGCGAGGAGCGGCCGCAAGUGCGGCGGGGAGCGGUCGAGGCCGAGCUUGAAGUUCCUCGCGUGCGCCUUCCUGACCUCGUCCAGGCCACGCACGAGCCGCGCCGAGACCGUGGCGCAGCAUGGCGCCUGCUCCAGCGCUUGCGUCGUGGUCGCCGGCGCCGGGGCGGCGGUUCUUGGCGUGGCGGCCUGGUGCUGCGGCUGGGGGAGCACUAGACCUCCCACCAUGGCACUACCAUCGGCGUGCGGGGCAGCGCGGGCGACGAAAGUGAGACCGUACCAUCGUCGAACUGCGAACGAGUGGCUAACAUGGAGCUCGGGCGUCCACACGAAUUGGUUACCGCGAGGAGUGAAAAUCCCACGUCCCUCUCCAGAUUCCUAG